CAUGUAUGCUUCUUAAACACCAUUCAAUUUUGCCUAAAAAAUAAAUUGUCUUCUGAAUUACUGGGCACGAUGGACUGCAAGCGACAUAAGCUCCUUUUGGGUAUUCUAAUAACAUUGAUGUGAUUUGCUAGCUUUAAUGUCCCCUUAUUAGCAUGGGUAACCGUGCGGUCCCUCAUGCCGCUUUUGGUGUUGCAACAACCA
RNAcentral lists this long non-coding RNA (201 nucleotides) under Elaeis guineensis (African oil palm). RNAcentral's name for it is "long non-coding RNA (EGUI_LNC000413)". The record is from RNAcentral. Lineage: Eukaryota; Viridiplantae; Streptophyta; Magnoliopsida; Arecales; Arecaceae.